ACAACACUGAAUGUAUAUCUACACACAUAUCAGUCUUUCCAAGAGAAAACCGGAAUCCUACCACAGGAUGACUACCAAAGAUUCCUACCACUGGAUGACUGAGAAAAUAUCCACAUAAAAAUGAGUAGGAGACACAGAGAUACAUUGUGUACUAAGCUUACCCUGAGCACAGAACCUUACACUGGGAAGGAAAUCCCAACUUCCAAAUUCUUCGUGAGAGUGCACCAGCUGACACCACCCAGAUCCAUAAACUGGCUCAUCUGGUCUUGUGGUCCUCAUUCGGGAACUGACAGUGCAAGAGGAGAGCUUCAACUCCCUAUGAUUUCAUCUCUUCCCCAACCAGUCAGCAGCAAGUACCCAUUGCAUGGCCAUCCCUUCUCCCAAACUGCCUUUGAAAAACUCCUAACCUACCAGUCUGAGGGAAGAUUGAUUUGA
This 435-nucleotide long non-coding RNA is filed under the name Papio anubis (olive baboon). Its description in RNAcentral is "lncRNA (ENSPANG00000047080.1)". The record is from RNAcentral. Lineage: Eukaryota; Metazoa; Chordata; Mammalia; Primates; Cercopithecidae.